This is a long non-coding RNA of Scatophagus argus, 2077 nucleotides long. RefSeq lists it as uncharacterized. The transcript is spliced from 5 exons. The record is from RefSeq and is a predicted model, not a curated record. NCBI's taxonomy places the organism in Eukaryota, Metazoa, Chordata, Actinopteri, Scatophagidae.
ACCUUCUGUGAUGCCCUGACGAGUUUCACCUGUGCCUUGUUUGCCCCCUCCCACACGCUUUUAGUUAGCUGACUUGUACCAUGACUCUUCCAAGUGUUUAGUAGUGUGUUCAGCAUCCAGCUGGUGGGAGAGUUGUUGGAACAGCUUGAUCAGCCACACCAGACUGACAGAAGGAGCAGCCCUCGGUGUCAGAGAUCCAGAGGUGACGGAGCCAGCCCUGGUGUAGGGAUGGACUAUCCAGUGUCUCACCUGGGCUAACAGUCGACCAAGCCACAAGUGGCAAGAGCACGAAAGGAUUUCCCCAGCGUCCCAGGUGCCGGAGUGUGUGUUCAGUGAAGGAUCACUAGCAGUCCUCCAGCCUCGGCCCCCGUCCUGAUGAUGUAAUUAUUUCCCAGUGGCACCUGGGAGCCACGGACGCCAUUCGGAGGCAUCGCUCACAGCCAAUCUCUGAGAGAGGUUCAGUUUGGGGAGAGGAUGUGGGGAACAGCUGGGCCCCAUCACUUCUCAUUGCGGGCCUGGGAGAGACGUAGCUGACAGAGUGAUGCACAGAGCCUGUCCUUGCUAAUGACUGCGCCAUUCUCCAUCAUUAUCACCAUCAUUAGGAAAUUAGGGGACAGAAGGUAUUUACUGUAAACCUGCCACCUCCCAAGGAGAGAUAAAUAGAAACUGAUAAAUGUGAUCGUGUGACGCUGCCUGUCUAUUAACCUUCCCAUUUUCCAGCUCCAGCAUAUGCACAUUUAACAAUCAUUAAUAUUUUGUAAUUGGGCUAGAUUUUAGUGAGGGAAAUACUCUUGAAGAAGAAGACAGACCUGGUGUUUGUAGCUCUUAAAAAUACAGUUCUGUGUUUCUGAAGUAGAACUGCAGCACCAUGAACAGUCCAUGGUGGGAAAGAUAUUGCUGUCAAACCUGGAACUGUGAUUUACUGUGGAAACUCUAAUUCAUGUUACAGACAAUAAAAUAAUUGCAGUCGUUACCUGCUCCCGUACAAAUAUGACAAUUAUCUCCCUUAAAUGUCUUUUUAUGUCUCCUUUAUUCAUACUUUCCACAGUGAAGGUUACUUUUUAUGCUCAAAAGUCAAACAUCGCACAUUUUACUCUCUCUAGUGUGGAGACACAAUGUAGUUGGAGUCGUGGGUAUACACAUACAGUCACAACACAACCAUUUUGUAAAUACAAAUGAUCACAAUUUUGUAUAUACAACUUAAAUCACAAAAAAUAUAUGAAAUGCAUUGUUAAUAAGUGCCAAUUGUCAACUCUAUCAUUGAGAACUCUGUCCGUUACCUGAUAUGCAGUUUGCAGGGAGACACCGUGAUUGUGCUACAUUUUAUCAAUUUAGCUCAACUGUGACAGAUUAUAUGCUAAUUUACAUAUUGCUAAUUGCUUGGCAACACUGCAAAGGUUGAUUGUUCUGUGUUUGACUGUGGUACAGCUGUGUAACAGCAGGUCAGGACUGCUGUCAAGGGCACACGCACACAGAAACACCCACAAAAAACACGCAUGCACAAGUUUUUGUUGGUCUGAGGGGAGAUUAGCUUGCUCAGCAUAUAAUUACACUACGUAUGUUUCGUGUGGCUGCUUACUGUAUGAACCACACACACACAUUCUCACAGACAGAGACACAGAAUUUGCUGGAGGCAAGGAGACUUUGUCAGCUGUAGGAUGAAGUAGGCUUUCACAACUGUUUAGCUUUUAUAUUUCCAGGGUGACGUGUAACUUUGUGCCUUGUGACAGCAGAAUGUUUAACAGUUGGUCAGUCUCACUUUUACUGCAUGUUGUCUAAGUUUUUUUUCUUUUUCACCUGCUAAGUCUUAUGUUUGAAAAGGGGGCACCCUCUUUAUUUUCAUUCGAACCUCAACAUUUAUGUUUCUUCUUUCUUCCCUAAUCCCACACACAUUUAAGGGAUCAGCCUGAUAUAUGUAUAUUAUAUUGUCCUUGGAAUGUUCUAGUUGACUGGAUUCUGUUCAUUCCAUGUUCGUCAGAAAAAGAGAACUAUAAACAAUCAUUCUGCUUGUGGAUCAAAUCACUUUAUUCUUUUGCAUCAUCUGGAAAGGUUCAGCACUAUCACCACAAGGAAUGCA